UUGUGAUUUUACCCAAGUACUGCAUUUCAGACUUUUGUUGACUAUGAGGGCUACUCCAUUCUUCUGAUAGAUUCUUGCACACAGUGGUAUAUAUAAUGGUCUUCUGAAUUGAAUUCACCCAUUCCAAUCGAUUUUAGUUCACUGAUUUUUAAAAUGUCAGUGUUCA
Long non-coding RNA from Cervus elaphus (red deer), 166 nucleotides. RefSeq lists it as uncharacterized. The record is from RefSeq and is a predicted model, not a curated record. The transcript has 3 exons. NCBI's taxonomy places the organism in Eukaryota, Metazoa, Chordata, Mammalia, Artiodactyla, Cervidae.